UUCACUUUGGCCUCAAACGAUCCAAAAUUGGAAUCAUAUUAUAGAGUUUAUCAUUGUCCCUGUGCAAGGAUGACACGUAAAGUUGAAAAAUGGUCCAUACUUUU
Chiloscyllium plagiosum (whitespotted bambooshark) is the source of this 104-nucleotide small nuclear RNA. The record is from RefSeq and is a predicted model, not a curated record. Lineage: Eukaryota; Metazoa; Chordata; Chondrichthyes; Orectolobiformes; Hemiscylliidae.